GACGGGCCUGGAAACGACGAACCCUCGCACGAAAGAAACCUCACCACCGAGGCUGCCCUCAUCUAUUCGCUACAACGACGGGAGCCAUGCCGCCGCCGCCACCGCGAUCCCUGAAACGCCGCCGAUCUAUUCGCUACAUCGACGGAAACCAGGCGCUAGCCACGGAUCCCUUUGCCGGCGCCGAGCAGUCAUCGAGGAGCCGGCGCCGAGGUCCUAAAGAGGCGCCGCCGCCAUCGUUGCAGGCCUCCGGGUCGCCAUCGGGACACCGCUGCCGAGAUCCGCCUUCGCCUUCGUCCGGCAGAGGCGGCGGAAGGCAGCCGGGAGGGGAAGCACACAACGACCCGGAAGACAUCCGCCCUCACGCGCUCAUCGUCUUGCUCGAUCUACCCGAGGGCUGCCGAUGGGCGCCUCGGCGGCGGCCACGGCGAGAUCUGCGUCUGGGACGUGACAAUCCCUCCACCCUGGUCGCCGGUGAGAUUUCACUGCCUCGAUCCUCCCGGUCCCAGUUUAUCAGGUCGUCCCUGACAAGAGGGAGCGAGAGAUGCUACUGCCGGGCACGUGCACGCACGUGGGGCGGCCGCCUGCGAGCGGGGCCGCGUCCUCUCUCCUUCGUCGACCAUGGCCUCCGAACCACUCCGUUGAGCGGUACCUCUGCGCCCAAGUGUCCGCUCCUCGAUCUUCAACAGAUUUGUUAUCUCCUCUCUUCCGUUGCAGGUCAAUCCCAAUUUGAUUUCUUAUCUGCUACGUAUAUUGCAUUUGUUCUCCCAAAUGGGUCAGCGUGCCUUCUGUGUCAAAAUUUGGAGAUGUAGUUCUGAAAACCAAUGAACAAGGAGAAAUUUGGAGAUGUAGUUCUAAAAAACAGUGAACAAGAAGCACAUGGGAGCCGCUCAAUGCUCUACUAUUGAAAGUUGAGUAGGUGAUUAUGAGAUGAAGACGCUGGAAGAAGUUGGUGUGGUUGUUUCUCAGUGAAACUUAUCUGUAGUCAAGUCAUACCCAGCCCGUUGACCAUCAUCCGAAUGCUUCUGAUAAUAACCAAGUGUUUUCUAUUGAAUAUGUUACAAUCCAUUCUGAAGCAAACUGAGUUACUAGCAGUUUAAGAAGAUGUUAUACACCUGACUGAUGAAGAUCUUUUUUAUAUCCACAAGGCAUUUCAUGACGAUCCAAGUAUAUUGCUGAUCAAAUAGAAAAUAUGUAAUUUUCUGUUUCGGUAAUAAACGGGCAAUUCAACGUAUAGCUGGGGCAGCCUGAUUUCCUCUUACACAUGCCCGCUAGCAGCAGCAGUUACGACCAGGCGGUUGCGGCCUGACUUGGCGGCUCUUCCUUUUUGUUUUGUGUUUGAAUCAGAUUUGGUGGUCUCGAUUUUACAGGCAUGUGUUGAUCUUGGCCUUGUUCUGUAUGCAGGUAGGGUACACUUGAUGUUUCAUGUUUGGUGAAAGAAAAGGAGCCUCCUAUGUUGAUUUCGGGCAAGACAUACAUUAUGCCAUGCAUUAGUAGAUCAAUUGCUUCUCUGUGUAGGGGAACGAUUAGUGAUUGAAUCUCUCUGUCUCGUUUCUUGAUUAUCCAAUUAAUUUACCCUCAUCUAUGCAUAAAUUGGUCCGAUUGAGUUAUGCCAUUUUUCUAAUAAUCUAUAUUGGUUCUAUAUAUGACUAGAACAAUAUGAUACGAUGCACAUCGGUCCGCUUUACUGGCAGUUAUCUUUCAAGAUGGAGGGGAGGCACUCGUGUGGACCUGCUCAAUGUUCGAGGAGAUACGGCUGACUAAACAAGUCAAAUCAAGUCAAUUUGCAACUUUGGUGUUGUGACGUUGGAGGCCGUGCUCAACAGCAAUGGGGGAUUGUUCGUUGAUGCCCGACCCAUGAUGCCGGCGAAGGAAUGAGAGUCGACGAGGAGUGGACACCAUGGGUUUGUGAACUGGCGAAGCCUCCGUUGUCCAUUUGGUAAUGUCCGACCCAUCAGAGGCAUAGUAUGACUUGCCCCGAUUAUGAUGUCGUCUACAAACAUCCGACGGAGGGGAACCCGUCCCAGUUUCCAUCUUGAUGUUUCAGUUGUUGAGCUCUGCACUAUAAAACCGAGAAAUACCCAAGGCUUUUUACAGACUACAAAUAGAGGGAAGUUUGCAUGUGCCUUACUAGAGACAGAUGAACCAAUAAAAUGAUUGGAAAGGUUCUUCCCAAGCAAAAGAUUACCUAUGAUGAAAAUUACAUUCUCUGCGGGCGCUGAUUCAGAUAUAUUACUAUGGGCAAAGGAAGUUCAAAAUUUAUCUCAAUCAAACAUGUGCAAAGGAAAAUUCAAAAUAUGUUAUGUCAGGAAAAGAUUCUUAAACCAGUGAAGUAUCUAGAGGGCUUAUUAGGACACUGCUCAUAUUGUUUGAUACUUUACCAUCUGGGGAUUAGGCUAUCGGUGAACACGACAAUGUGGCUGUUGGUCACGGAUGCCGGGGGCGUGAGCGGGGUUGAGGAGCUCACAUGGUGCUAUACAUGACGACCUGCGAGUGGUGGCAGGAGGUGGCAUGCCUGCUACUUGGCUGGAAGUCCGACAUGAACUCCCACGACCGGCUGUAAGCAUGGUUGUGAAGACCUUCCAGCAUUACCCCAGGAAGCUAACACAUCAGCUUGUGCCAUACGUGGUGUUUUCUUGUUGAUGAAUGUUGGUCUAGGUAAUUUCUUUGAUGAACCAUGUGACAAUUAAUAAAGUUAAUAAAGGACA
This is an RNA transcript of Triticum aestivum (bread wheat), 2705 nucleotides long. RefSeq lists it as uncharacterized. Lineage: Eukaryota; Viridiplantae; Streptophyta; Magnoliopsida; Poales; Poaceae. The record is from RefSeq and is a predicted model, not a curated record. The transcript is spliced from 6 exons.